GUUAGUUUGUUAUAAUGCAUACCAGAUGCUAGCUAGUCUGCUGCCCUUGUUAGCAUGUUAGUCGGGUCCUUUGGAUAUCCUUGAGUGAUUCUAGGAUUUGUUAGCAGGUAGUGCAUGCAUGCACGUGUUAGUUGUGUGAGUGGGCUUGGUCAUGACCGGGUGAUUAGAGGAUAAGGGCACGAUGUGCUAGUGGCCUCAGUUAUGGGGCUUGAGUUGGCGUGCCAGCCCCUAGUGUAUGCAUAUGUGUUGCAUAUUUAGUAAUGAAAACGGGCCGUGGGGGCUGAAAAAAAAAAGUAGCCUCUCGUAUGACCAAGGAAAAAUGUAGCCUCUCGGGUUGUACUCGAAGUUGACGAAGGUGAUUCGUAAGCCCUUGGUGUGCAGCUCCUUUGCAAGGUGCAGCGUCGGUGUGACGUGGCCGCCCUUUGCCGGCUGCCGGAUGAGCACAACUUGGGCAGCCGCUGGUUCGGUUCGGAGCUCAUUAAGACAUGUAUAAUGAUGCUAUCUUAAGAGUAUCAUGUAGAACAAAUGCUAAUGUGGAGGAGUGAAAGAUCAUAAGAUAAGAUUUUUUCUUUUAUAUAAGAGAUGCCCACCUUUCGGUUUCUUUCUCCUUCAUCUCGGCAUUUAUCCUACGUGGCAUUCCUAAGAUAGCGUCAUUGUACAUGCCCUUAGCUAGAGAUUUCACGAUCCUGUUUUAGUAUGUAUGCAAAGGAUAACCGACAUGAAGAAGAACAUCAUGAACGUUUUUUGAGCAAAACUAGCAAUAUAUAUAUGAUAAAAAUGGG
RNAcentral lists this long non-coding RNA (782 nucleotides) under Hordeum vulgare. RNAcentral describes it as "long non-coding RNA (HVUL_LNC017578)". Lineage: Eukaryota; Viridiplantae; Streptophyta; Magnoliopsida; Poales; Poaceae. The record is from RNAcentral.